Molecule: RNA transcript, 3669 nt
Organism: Felis catus (domestic cat)
Lineage: Eukaryota; Metazoa; Chordata; Mammalia; Carnivora; Felidae
Gene: RNF149
Gene name: ring finger protein 149
Exons: 10
Source: RefSeq, a predicted model, not a curated record
GCGCGUGCGCCGCGGCCCCGCCCGCCCCCCGGCCUGGUUCUGCGCUGCUCGGCUGAGAGCGUCUUUUCCUCGCUCUCUGGCGGCUUGCACGCGCCCUCCUUCCGGACCUCGGGAGUCGCGCAGCUCCCGGCCCGGUCUCCUCCCCGACUGCCUGGCUGCGGGGCCAUGGCGUGGCGGCGGCGGCCCGAGGCCGGCGUCGGGGUCCGCGGCGCGCUGGCGCUGCUGGCGCUGGCUGUGUGCGCGCCCGGGGCCCGGGGGCGGGCGUUCGAGUGGUAUUCGGCCGUGGUGAGCACCGAGUACGUCGACCCGUACACGAACCGCACCGUAUGGAGCGUCUCGGAGAGCGGCCGCUUCGGCGACAGCUCGCCCAAGGAGGGCGCGCAGGGCCUGGUGGGCGUCCCGCGCGCGGCGGAUCGCGACCCCGAGGGCUGCGCGCCAGAUACCCGCUUCCUCGUGCCCGCGCCCGGCGGCCGUGGAGCCGCGCCCUGGGUCGCCCUGGUGGCGCGCGGUGGCUGCACCUUCAAGGACAAGGUGCUGGUGGCUGCACGGAGGAACGCCUCGGCCGUGGUCCUCUACAACGAGGAGAGCCACGGGAACCUCACCGUGCCCAUGUCCCACGCGGGAACAGGAAAUAUAGUGGUCAUUAUGGUUAGCUACCCAAAAGGAAGAGAAAUUAUGGAUCUGGUGCAGAAAGGCAUUGCAGUCAAAAUGACCAUAGGAGUUGGCACCCGUCAUGUGCAGGAGUUCAUCAGUGGUCAGUCUGUGGUAUUUGUGGCCAUUGCCUUUAUCACCAUGAUGAUUAUCUCGUUAGCCUGGCUGAUAUUUUACUAUAUACAGCGUUUCCUAUACACUGGCUCACAGUUUGGAAGUCAGAGUCAUAGAAAAGAAGCUAAGAAAAUUAUUGGCCAACUUCCACUUCAUACUGUAAAGCAUGGAGAAAAGGGAGUCGACGUUGAUGCAGAAAACUGUGCAGUGUGUAUUGAGAAUUUUAAAGUGAAGGAUGUUAUCAGAAUUCUGCCAUGCAAGCAUAUUUUUCAUAGAAUAUGCAUUGACCCAUGGCUUUUGGAUCACCGCACGUGUCCAAUGUGUAAACUUGAUGUCAUCAAAGCCCUGGGAUAUUGGGGAGAGGUGGAGGAUGUGCAGGAGAUGCCCGCUCCAGAAUCUACCCCUGGGAGUGUUUUGGCUGCAAAUUUGAGUAUUACUCUACAAGAGGAGGACAGAAGCGAGGGGAACAAUUUACCGUCCUCUUCCACUAGUGAGUCUGCACUGCAGUGUGAUGCCGGCUUUAAAGAAGAUGCAGGUGAAGACACAGCCUUACUAGAAAUGGGCAGGAGCGACCUUGAACAUGGAAGGCCCGUCUCCUAGCACACAUCCUGGUGACCGCGUCAUGGACAGAGCAUUGACUUCAAUUAAAGGACUUUUUUUUUUUUUUUUUACUUCAGCACAUAGUUUGUAUAUUUGAAAAUAAUGUACAUUCUUUUACCUUUCAGGUUCUGAUUUGAUACACAAAGGGCUAAGAUAUUUUAUUCUUGAAGAGAUGUUUUGAUUAGUCUUAAUAUAUUUAUCUACUAAAAUAUAUCAUUUAUGAUAAACAGUAUGUUGUUUUGGACUAUUACAGAGGAGACCACUAGGAAGGCCCUCUAAAGGGGGUGGCAGGGGGAGGUUUUUCUGAAUACUACUAGACUAGCUACCACGGUACUGUACAAAUGGGAUUUUGUUUCUCAAGGAUGGCUUUAGACUGAGCAACUGAAUUUAGACUAGUGGAAGUGGAAUUGUAUAAUUCACUUCAGUUAUUGAUCACGAGUUUUCCUUGGAGGAAAGGCUUUUCUAGAGCAUUAAACUUAUAAAUGAGAUCUGAGAAAUCUACAGCUUUCUCAAACCUCCGUGUUAUUAUAUAGACUUUGAAACCUACGAACACCUUUUCAUUGUUCUCUCUUUGGAAUUAUAGGAAAAGCGUUAGGUGACUUUAGGAUUUGCAUUUUCCCUUUUUAAUCCCUAAUUGCUUGUGAUACCUUAAAGGAGAGGGAAAUUUGUCCAUUUUUUCUACAAAUGAAAAGCUAAGAUCCUUCAUCACACAUGAGCAGUAAGUUCUUCAUUGCCUUAAGGAAAUCGAGCAGGCAGAGUUUUUUGUAAAUGAUGACUGUAUUAGUUCCAACUGCAAUUUAAUCUUUACAAUUAAAAGGAUGGAGAACUUUGUUUCUGUUACAAUGUAAGCAGUUUACUUGAUUGAUUUAAAGAUCAUGAUCUCGUGUAAUCAUCUAUCCUUUUUAUUCUUGGCUGUUCUCACUUGUAGGUUGAAAGCGGCAGGUGAAUGUAAAGCUUUUGGAGACUGCACUCUUAAAUUUUAUAAAAUUAUUAAGUAAAAACGCACACUUUCUGCUCUCCUCUCACUUCUUGGAGGUGGAAGUUGAGGAGGUCGCAGGCAGCAUGUGAAAGAAGCAGUUUGACCAUGAACGUGAAGCACUGUUGUCAGCCGCCUGCCCAGGUGCUACUUCUGGGUUUCCCGCUAGAACACCACAAAGGGCAGGAGGAGAUGUGCAAAAACAGGGCACCUUGGACAGGUGAUUUGAAGAUACUACAACUAGAAACCGGAACUAGAAAACCCAGAGAAUUCAAGGUGUUUCUCCAGUGUCCAAGGUCUUCAACAAUCGGAAAAGGCCAGCGGCUUCUCGUAUCCUGCUGAAUUCAAUACAGAAUGCCUGCACUUCUAUAAACAAGUCCUGCACGUUAAUUAUUUUGUUACGGAUCAAGGACUGGAGAAAGACACACACAAGACGCACCAAACGAUUCUGAAAAAGAGAAAGCAAAUUUAGUGUACCCGUUUCCUUGGCAGGUAUUUAUAAAAUUUACAAAAAUCUCUGCUACUUACCUGCAUAUAUUUAUCCUUAAUUUGUUCACAAGUAGAGAUGCAAUUUGAUAUGUAAAGGUGAAUAAAUUCAGGAGGUAGAUCAACAGCUGUAGUGAGUCUGUUUCAGAAAGUUAAAAAGUUAGGGCUGUUACAAAACACUGUUACCCAUAAAAUAUAAAAUUCCUCUUUGGUCAUUUAGUCAAAAUUUCUGAUAGAUGAUCAGUUACCUACUUUUAAACAUACUUAUGCAAAUAAGCCUGAGUCACCCACUUUGUUAGUCAAUGGCACUUCAUUUUUUAAGUCUAUACUUAGCAUUACAUUACACAUGAAAGUUACUCAUAAUUUUGAACACCACAUUUCUGUGUUCUUGGUUGAAUCCUAAUUUGUAGUUAAUGGUCUUCAAGCUCUAGUAAGUAACGUUAACUAAACCUCAAUUAUAUGUAAGUGCUGUGCAAGGUGGUAGGUCCAAGAAAGUAUAAUUUUUAAUAAGUAUAAUUAAGGGCUAAAAUGAGGGGUUUGCAAAAAGCAGUGUAAAUGAAAAAACAGGAAAAGUCUUAAAAGGCCAAGUGGCCUAAAACUGAAACCUUGAAGUAUUUCUUAUAACCUAGCAAGUGAUGUGAGAAAAAGCUGGGAUCUGGGAUUAGUGUGGCACAUUCAGGAACAUGGUGGUAGAGAUCCGGAUGGAAUGUGACAGAAGGCACUGGUGGCACAUUAGUGUCUCCAAGAGGAAAGGUGGUAUUUUCCGGAAGAUUCUGUGGAAUAUUUUAAGGAAAACAAAAAGAUGGGAAUUCCAUGUUCAAAUAAAGGUAUGCUAUACAGUA